GAGUUUGAUCCUGGCUCAGGAUGAACGCUAGCGGCAGGCCUAACACAUGCAAGUCGAGGGGUAACAGAAAAGCUUGCUUUUGCUGACGACCGGCGCACGGGUGCGUAACGCGUAUGCAACCUACCUCAUACUGGAGGAUAGCCCCUGGAAACGGGGAUUAAUACUCCAUAGUAUCACAAUUUCGCAUGUUAUUGUGAUUAAAGUUUUUCGGUAUGAGAUGGGCAUGCGUCCCAUUAGCUUGUUGGUGAGGUAACGGCUCACCAAGGCAACGAUGGGUAGGGGGCCUGAGAGGGUGGUCCCCCACACUGGUACUGAGACACGGACCAGACUCCUACGGGAGGCAGCAGUGAGGAAUAUUGGUCAAUGGAGGAAACUCUGAACCAGCCAUGCCGCGUGAAGGAUGACGGCCCUAUGGGUUGUAAACUUCUUUUAUAGAGGAAGAAACUUGUCUACGUGUAGACAACUGACGGUACUCUACGAAUAAGGAUCGGCUAACUCCGUGCCAGCAUGCCGCGGUAAUACGGAGGAUCCAAGCGUUAUCCGGAUUCAUUGGGUUUAAAGGGUCCGUAGCAGAUUUUUAAGUCAGUGGUGAAAGCCGACAGCUCAACUGUCGAACUGCCAUUGAUACUGGAAAUCUUGAGUACAAAUGAAGUAGGCGGAAUGAGUCAUGUAGCGGUGAAAUGCAUAGAUAUGACUCAGAACACCGAUUGCGAAGGCAGCUUACUAACAUGUAACUGACGCUGAGGGACGAAAGCGUGGGGAGCGAACAGGAUUAGAUACCCUGGUAGUCCACGCCGUAAACGAUCAUCACUCGCUGUUGGCGAUAUACUGUCAGCGGCCAAGCGAAAGUAUUAAGUGAUGCACCUGGGGAGUACGCCGGCAACGGUGAAACUCAAAGGAAUUGACGGGGGCCGCACAAGCGGUGGAGCAUGUGGUUAAUUCGAUGAUACGCG
Molecule: ribosomal RNA, 953 nt
Filed under: uncultured Bacteroidota bacterium
Lineage: Bacteria; Pseudomonadati; Bacteroidota
Description: bacterial SSU rRNA
Rfam family: Bacterial small subunit ribosomal RNA
Source: RNAcentral